RNAcentral lists this ribosomal RNA (520 nucleotides) under uncultured Glomus. RNAcentral's name for it is "SSU rRNA". It matches the Rfam family "Eukaryotic small subunit ribosomal RNA", at positions 569 to 1091 of the family's 1831-position model. Lineage: Eukaryota; Fungi; Glomeromycota; Glomeromycetes; Glomerales; Glomeraceae. The record is from RNAcentral.
AGCAGCCGCGGUAAUUCCAGCUCCAAUAGCGUAUAUUAAAGUUGCUGCGGUUAAAAAGCUCGUAGUUGAAUUUCGGGACCAAUAUGUCGGUCGUGCCUCGGUACGUACUGGCAUCGUUGGUUUCUCCCUUCUGACGAACCAUGAUGUCAUUUAUUUGGUGUCGUGGGGAAUCAGGACUGUUACUUUGAAAAAUUAGAGUGUUUAAAGCAGGCUCACGCUUGAAUACAUUAGCAUGGAAUAAUGAAAUAGGACGUUUGAUUCUAUUUUGUUGGUUUCUAGGAUCGACGUAAUGAUUAAUAGGGAUAGUUGGGGGCAUUAGUAUUCAAUUGUCAGAGGUGAAAUUCUUGGAUUUAUUGAAGACUAACUACUGCGAAAGCAUUUGCCAAGGAUGUUUUCAUUAAUCAAGAACGAAAGUUAGGGGAUCGAAGACGAUCAGAUACCGUCGUAGUCUUAACCAUAAACCUAUGCCGACUAGGGAUCGGAUGAUGUUAAUUUUUAAUGUACUCAUUCGGCGCCUUAC